GACAGAGGGUGCAAACGUUGCUCGGAAUUACUGGGCGUAAAGGGCGCGUAGGCGGCCCGCUAAGUCGAACGUGAAAUCCCCGAGCUCAACUCGGGAACUGCGUCCGAUACUGGUGGGCUUGAAUCCGGGAGAGGGAUGCGGAAUUCCAGGUGUAGCGGUGAAAUGCGUAGAUAUCUGGAGGAACACCGGUGGCGAAGGCGGGUUGCUGGGCCGACACUGACGCUGAUGCGCGAAAGCCAGGGGAGCGAACGGG
RNAcentral lists this ribosomal RNA (253 nucleotides) under uncultured bacterium. RNAcentral's name for it is "partial 16S ribosomal RNA". It matches the Rfam family "Bacterial small subunit ribosomal RNA", at positions 524 to 776 of the family's 1533-position model. The record is from RNAcentral.